GUCCAGCUGACCAGUCCCAAAUAGGACGAAACGCUCGCCCUGGAU
Schistosoma mattheei is the source of this 45-nucleotide non-coding RNA. NCBI's taxonomy places the organism in Eukaryota, Metazoa, Platyhelminthes, Trematoda, Strigeidida, Schistosomatidae. The record is from Rfam.